CAGCAGCAGCCGCGGUAAUACGUAGGGUGCAAGCGUUAAUCGGAAUUACUGGGCGUAAAGCGUGCGCAGGCGGUUAUAUAAGACAGAUGUGAAAUCCCCGGGCUCAACCUGGGAACUGCAUUUGUGACUGUAUAGCUAGAGUACGGCAGAGGGGGAUGGAAUUCCGCGUGUAGCAGUGAAAUGCGUAGAUAUGCGGAGGAACACCGAUGGCGAAGGCAAUCCCCUGGGCCUGUACUGACGCUCAUGCACGAAAGCGUGGGGAGCAAACAGGAUUAGAUACCCGCGUAGUCCCUGUCUCUUAUAC
This 304-nucleotide ribosomal RNA is filed under the name uncultured bacterium. RNAcentral's name for it is "partial 16S ribosomal RNA". It matches the Rfam family "Bacterial small subunit ribosomal RNA", at positions 506 to 807 of the family's 1533-position model. The record is from RNAcentral.